RNAcentral lists this ribosomal RNA (494 nucleotides) under uncultured bacterium. Its description in RNAcentral is "partial 16S ribosomal RNA". It matches the Rfam family "Bacterial small subunit ribosomal RNA", at positions 28 to 507 of the family's 1533-position model. The record is from RNAcentral.
GACGAACGCUGGCGGCGUGCUUAACACAUGCAAGUCGAACGGUGAAGCGCCUUCCUUUUUGGUGGGUGUGGAUGAGUGGCGAACGGGUGAGUAACACGUGAGUAACCUGCCCCCUUCUUCUGGAUAACCGCAUGAAAGUGUGGCUAAUACGGGAUAUUCUGGGUCUGUCGCAUGAUGGGUCUGGGAAAGAUAUUGUUUCGGUGGGGGAUGGGCUCGCGGCCUAUCAGCUUGUUGGUGGGGUGAUGGCCUACCAAGGCGGUGACGGGUAGCCGGCCUGAGAGGGUGGACGGUCACACUGGGACUGAGACACGGCACAGACUCGUACGGGAGGCAGCAGUGGGGAAUAUUGCACAAUGGGCGCAAGCCUGAUGCAGCGACGCCGCGUGAGGGAUGGAGGCCUUCGGGUUGUGAACCUCUUUCGCCAGUGAAGCAGGCCUGCCUCGUUUGUGGGUGGGUUGACGGUAGCUGGAUAAGAAGCGCCGGCUAACUACGUG